GUAUGGGAACUGCUGAGUCACGGCCUGAACCUCUGAUGGAUCACCUGAGGCGAGCCGUGAGUCAGCCAGAGGAGCACAGGUGGAGGCAACUCACCUGUGCUGCUGAAAGGUGUGGAGCCUGGCUGCACCUCUCCUAGACCUAUUCAAGAGCUGGCUACCAGUGGGGAAGGAUCUCUUCAGUAGAGGCGAUCUCCAGGUGUCUUGUGAGUGAACCCAGAAUAGGGUUCUCAAAGACCAAAAGCAUAACAUAAAAGAAGAAGAGAGAUUUACAGAACUGAGACAGCACAGAUCAUUAACAAACAUCUCCGCCCCACAAACUAAAGA
Long non-coding RNA from Tympanuchus pallidicinctus (lesser prairie-chicken), 324 nucleotides. RefSeq lists it as uncharacterized. Lineage: Eukaryota; Metazoa; Chordata; Aves; Galliformes; Phasianidae. The transcript is spliced from 2 exons. The record is from RefSeq and is a predicted model, not a curated record.